Molecule: ribosomal RNA, 440 nt
Filed under: uncultured bacterium
Lineage: Bacteria
Description: partial 16S ribosomal RNA
Rfam family: Bacterial small subunit ribosomal RNA
Source: RNAcentral
CCUACGGGAGGCAGCAGUAGGGAAUAUUGCUCAAUGGGGGAAACCCUGAAGCAGCAACGCCGCGUGGAGGAUGAAGGUUUUCGGAUUGUAAACCCCUUUUGUUAGAGAAGAUAAUGACGGUACCUAACGAAUAAGCACCGGCUAACUCCGUGCCAGCAGCCGCGGUAAUACGGAGGGUGCAAGCGUUAUUCGGAAUUACUGGGCGUAAAGAGCGCGUAGGCGGGAUAGCAAGUCAGAUGUGAAAUCCUAUGGCUUAACCAUAGAACUGCAUUUGAAACUGUUAAUCUGGAGUGUGGGAGAGGUAGGUGGAAUUCUUGGUGUAGGGGUGAAAUGCGUAGAGAUCAAGAGGAAUACUCAUUGCGAAGGCGACCUACUAGAACAUAACUGACGCUGAUGCGCGAAAGCGUGGGGAGCAAACAGGAUUAGAUACCCCAGUAGUC